AGUGAACGCUGGCGGUAGGCCUAACACAUGCAAGUCGAACGGCAGCACAGUAAGAGCUUGCUCUUACGGGUGGCGAGUGGCGGACGGGUGAGGAAUACAUCGGAAUCUACUUUUUCGUGGGGGAUAACGUAGGGAAACUUACGCUAAUACCGCAUACGACCUACGGGUGAAAGCAGGGGAUCUUCGGACCUUGCGCGAUUGAAUGAGCCGAUGUCGGAUUAGCUAGUUGGCGGGGUAAAGGCCCACCAAGGCGACGAUCCGUAGCUGGUCUGAGAGGAUGAUCAGCCACACUGGCACUGAGACACGGUACAGACUCCUACGGGAGGCAGCAGUGGGGAAUAUUGGACAAUGGGCGCAAGCCUGAUCCAGCCAUACCGCGUGGGUGAAGAAGGCCUUCGGGUUGUAAAGCCCUUUUGUUGGGAAAGAAAAGCAGCAGGUUAAUACCCCGCUGUUCUGACGGUACCCAAAGAAUAAGCACCGGCUAACUUCGUG
Molecule: ribosomal RNA, 492 nt
Filed under: uncultured bacterium
Lineage: Bacteria
Description: partial 16S ribosomal RNA
Rfam family: Bacterial small subunit ribosomal RNA
Source: RNAcentral